UAUAUGUCUGCAGGCGUGAAGGAGUGGGAGAGGCACUGUUGGUCCCCUAAAUUUUAGAGAGUCCAGUGCUUACCUGUCCUAGUGAUACUUUGACACCUGGACCCCAGACUGUCAGAAAGGCCCAAGUCAAUUAUAAAACAACCAUGCGGCAGAAAGCAAAUGUCAUCCUGGAUCUGGACACAGCACAUCCCUGGCUCAUCCUGUCCAAGGAUCGCAAAAGUGUGAGAAAUGAAGGCAGUUGGAAAGAUUUGCCCGACUCUGCUGAGAGAUUUGACCUAUGUCGCUAUGUGUUAGGAUGUGAGGGAUUCACAGCAGGCAAACAUUACUGGGAAGUCACUGUGGAAAGUGAGGGGUUUGGGGCUGUGGGGGUGGCCAGGAAGUCUGUAUAAAGGAAAGGCCCUGUUGUUUUGGAAAUGAAGGAAGGGAUCUGGGCUGUGGGGAGAUGGGAAGGCGAAUACGAGGCCUUCAAUGAUCCUCUCCAAUCUUUUCUUCCCUUGAGUGAGAAGCUGAGGAGGAUCCGGGUGUCCCUGAACUAUGAAAAGGGCCAGGUGGCCUUUAGUGAUGCCGAUACAGGAUCCCAUCUCCACACCUUCUCUGGAGCCUCUUUCUCUGGGGAGACCCUUCUCCCCUUCUUUUGUUUGGAUGGAAAGGGUUCCCUCACAAUCCCAUUUUAAGGCAGCCAAGUUUACCUCAAAGGGAAAUCAACACUGAUGUGGUCAAUUGUGUCUCCUUCCCUUUCUGCAAAUUCCCACCAAGAGAGGCUUCUGGCCAAAAACCUCCCCUCCCCCAAUCCUCUGCAUCAAGAAUGAAGGCUGCUUUUCUCUCUCCCUUUCCCAGAAUUCCUCCCUCCCUUUGCCAAUAAAUUCUUUAAAAGACAGAAGCCCUUUUCCUGCAUGUCAGAAAA
This is a non-coding RNA of Pogona vitticeps (central bearded dragon), 904 nucleotides long. Lineage: Eukaryota; Metazoa; Chordata; Lepidosauria; Squamata; Agamidae. The record is from RefSeq and is a predicted model, not a curated record.